RNAcentral lists this ribosomal RNA (253 nucleotides) under uncultured bacterium. RNAcentral describes it as "partial 16S ribosomal RNA". It matches the Rfam family "Bacterial small subunit ribosomal RNA", at positions 524 to 776 of the family's 1533-position model. The record is from RNAcentral.
UACGUAGGCAGCAAGCGUUGUUCGGAAUUACUGGGCGUAAAGAGUGUGUAGGCGGUGCUCUAAGUUCGGUGUGAAAUCUCCUGGCUCAACUGGGAGGGUGCGCCGGAAACUGGGGUGCUGGAGCGCGGGAGAGGAAAGCGGAAUUCCUGGUGUAGCGGUGAAAUGCGUAGAUAUCAGGAGGAACACCGGCGGUGUAGACGGCUUUCUGGACCGUAGCUGACGCUGAGACACGAAAGCGUGGGGAGCGAUCCGG